UACGGAGGGUGCAAGCGUUAUCCGGAUUCACUGGGUUUAAAGGGUGCGUAGGCGGGCAGGUAAGUCAGUGGUGAAAUCUCCAAGCUUAACUUGGAAACUGCCAUUGUUACUAUCUGUCUUGAAUGUUGUGGAGGUGAGCGGAAUAUGUCAUGUAGCGGUGAAAUGCUUAGAUAUGACAUAGAACACCAAUUGCGAAGGCAGCUCACUACACAAAUAUUGACGCUGAGGCACGAAAGCGUGGGGAUCAAACAGG
Molecule: ribosomal RNA, 253 nt
Filed under: uncultured bacterium
Lineage: Bacteria
Description: partial 16S ribosomal RNA
Rfam family: Bacterial small subunit ribosomal RNA
Source: RNAcentral